Molecule: ribosomal RNA, 782 nt
Filed under: Escherichia coli
Lineage: Bacteria; Pseudomonadati; Pseudomonadota; Gammaproteobacteria; Enterobacterales; Enterobacteriaceae
Description: partial 23S ribosomal RNA
Rfam family: Bacterial large subunit ribosomal RNA
Source: RNAcentral
CUGUCUCCACCCGAGACUCAGUGAAAUUGAACUCGCUGUGAAGAUGCAGUGUACCCGCGGCAAGACGGAAAGACCCCGUGAACCUUUACUAUAGCUUGACACUGAACAUUGAGCCUUGAUGUGUAGGAUAGGUGGGAGGCUUUGAAGUGUGGACGCCAGUCUGCAUGGAGCCGACCUUGAAAUACCACCCUUUAAUGUUUGAUGUUCUAACGUUGGCCCCUAAUCGGGGUUGCGGACAGUGUCUGGUGGGUAGUUUGACUGGGGCGGUCUCCUCCUAAAGAGUAACGGAGGAGCACGAAGGUUGGCUAAUCCUGGUCGGACAUCAGGAGGUUAGUGCAAUGGCAUAAGCCAGCUUGACUGCGAGCGUGACGGCGCGAGCAGGUGCGAAAGCAGGUCAUAGUGAUCCGGUGGUUCUGAAUGGAAGGGCCAUCGCUCAACGGAUAAAAGGUACUCCGGGGAUAACAGGCUGAUACCGCCCAAGAGUUCAUAUCGACGGCGGUGUUUGGCACCUCGAUGUCGGCUCAUCACAUCCUGGGGCUGAAGUAGGUCCCAAGGGUAUGGCUGUUCGCCAUUUAAAGUGGUACGCGAGCUGGGUUUAGAACGUCGUGAGACAGUUCGGUCCCUAUCUGCCGUGGGCGCUGGAGAACUGAGGGGGGCUGCUCCUAGUACGAGAGGACCGGAGUGGACGCAUCACUGGUGUUCGGGUUGUCAUGCCAAUGGCACUGCCCGGUAGCUAAAUGCGGAAGAGAUAAGUGCUGAAAGCAUCUAAGCACGAAACUUGC